Molecule: unclassified non-coding RNA, 234 nt
Filed under: Hevea brasiliensis (rubber tree)
Lineage: Eukaryota; Viridiplantae; Streptophyta; Magnoliopsida; Malpighiales; Euphorbiaceae
Source: RNAcentral
AAGUGGAAUUGCCCAAUCCACAAUAGAAGGUGGUGAAUGCCCCACAUCAAUGGCCUUCCUUCCACUAAUGAUCUCCAACAACAAAAUCCCAAAACUAAAGACAUCAGUUUUAGUACUCAAAUUAUCUGGAGUAACAUAACACGGAUCAAGAUAACCAAUGGUACCAGCAGGUGGGGUUGAUUUAAGUCUAUAAUCAUCAUCGAUACCACACCUUAGUGCUAAACCAAAAUCACC